UCGCCGUUUCAGAAUCUAAUGCAUCCUGGGUAAUAUUUUCAAAAGUGUACACCAAAACGUCGUGAUUGGUUAAAAAUGUCAUAAACAAUGGAAAUUCAACCAAUGACGUGACGUUAUUUUCAUUUUGGGGUACAAACAAUGAAAUUACCCAUGAUUCUUUAGAUUCUGAAACGGCCAAUUCCCUAAUAUGCUACAAAUGUUAAUUGCUGUAAUGUUAAACUAUCUUCUGUGUUUUUUGGACAACUUGAUAUAUUAUAUUUCUUAUUAAUAAACACAAUUUGUCAAUAUUUUAUGCUCAGAAGCCAAAAAACAAUAUUUAAAUAUAUUUGAAGGCCCCCUUGAUGGUUUUGUAGGAGUAUAGGAUCCAUCUUGCAUGUAAAACCCCCGUGGGCAUUUUGAAAAGUUGGCAGGUAUGUAUAAAUGGUAAAUUUCAUUAGCGAAUAUGAAUUUGUAAGACUCGUCUAAUCUGGGAACUGUUCCUGGUCCAAUUAAUGCCAAUGUGACAAUGGCUCCAACCCAUUCCUUGGUGCAAGCUAACAUAACAGUACCCAAAUUGCACCUCUUUAGCAAAAAUAGCAGUGGAAAUCUCACAAGAUUUCUGUAAGAUUUCCUAGAGACUAAACAACUGGUAUUUUUAUGAUUUGAUACUAUGCACAUCUUUCAACAUAGGUAAACAUAUUUAGAUAUGCACAAAACGUUCACAGUUUUUACAACAGAUGAAGUGUUUACUGAAAAAGCAAAAUGUACCGAAACAUCGC
RNAcentral lists this long non-coding RNA (758 nucleotides) under Mytilus galloprovincialis (Mediterranean mussel). Lineage: Eukaryota; Metazoa; Mollusca; Bivalvia; Mytilida; Mytilidae. The record is from RNAcentral.